GCCAAGCUAGCCAAGAUGGUCACGGCGCGUGUCUGAAAAACACGAAAUUGAGGUUCGAGUCCUCAGCUUGGCA
This 73-nucleotide transfer RNA is filed under the name Patescibacteria group bacterium. RNAcentral describes it as "tRNA-Phe". It matches the Rfam family "tRNA". From Rfam's summary of the family: Transfer RNA (tRNA) molecules are approximately 80 nucleotides in length. Their secondary structure includes four short double-helical elements and three loops (D, anti-codon, and T loops). Further hydrogen bonds mediate the characteristic L-shaped molecular structure. tRNAs have two regions of fundamental functional importance: the anti-codon, which is responsible for specific mRNA codon recognition, and the 3' end, to which the tRNAs corresponding amino acid is attached (by aminoacyl-tRNA synthetases). tRNAs cope with the degeneracy of the genetic code in two manners: having more than one tRNA (with a specific anti-codon) for a particular amino acid; and 'wobble' base-pairing, i.e. permitting non-standard base-pairing at the 3rd anti-codon position. RNAcentral also lists the same sequence under 2 other names. The record is from RNAcentral.